Molecule: ribosomal RNA, 442 nt
Filed under: uncultured bacterium
Lineage: Bacteria
Description: bacterial SSU rRNA
Rfam family: Bacterial small subunit ribosomal RNA
Source: RNAcentral
AACGCGAAGAACCUUACCCAGGCUUGACAUGCAGUGGAAGACAGCAGAAAUGUUGUCGCUCUUCGGAGCCGCUGCACAGGUGCUGCAUGGCUGUCGUCAGCUCGUGCCGUGAGGUGUUGGGUUAAGUCCCGCAACGAGCGCAACCCUUAUCGUCAGUUGCCAACACGUAAUGGUGGGAACUCUGGCGAGACUGCCCGGGUUAACCGGGAGGAAGGUGAGGAUGACGUCAAGUCCGCAUGGCCCUUAUGUCUGGGGCUACACACGUGCUACAAUGGUCGGUACAGAAGGCAGCGAAACCGCGAGGUGGAGCAAAUCCCAAAAGCCGGCCCCAGUUCAGAUUGUAGUCUGCAACUCGACUACAUGAAGAUGGAAUUGCUAGUAAUGGCGAGUCAGCAACAUCGCCGUGAAUACGUUCCCGGGCCUUGUACACACCGCACUACUA